Molecule: ribosomal RNA, 449 nt
Filed under: uncultured bacterium
Lineage: Bacteria
Description: bacterial SSU rRNA
Rfam family: Bacterial small subunit ribosomal RNA
Source: RNAcentral
UGGGGAAUAUUGCGCAAUGGGGGAAACCCUGACGCAGCGACGCCGCGUGUGGGAUGAAGGUCUUCGGAUUGUAAACCACUGUCGCGAGGGACGAAGCUCUGACGGUACCUCGAAAGGAAGCACCGGCUAACUCUGUGCCAGCAGCCGCGGUAAGACGGAAGGUGCAAGCGUUGCUCGGAAUCACUGGGCGUAAAGGGUGCGUAGGCGGCUGUGUAAGUCUGGCGUGAAAGCCCAGGGCUCAGCCCUGGAAGGGCGCUAGAAACUGCGCGGCUAGAGUGCCGGAGGGGAGAGUGGAAUUCCUGGUGUAGCGGUGAAAUGCGUAGAUAUCAGGAGGAAUACCGGUGGCGAAAGCGACUCUCUGGACGGCAACUGACGCUGAGGCACGAAAGCGUGGGGAGCAAACAGGAUUAGAUACCCCUGUAGUCCCUGAGCGGGCUGGCAAGGCGCAU